Molecule: non-coding RNA, 269 nt
Organism: Caenorhabditis elegans
Lineage: Eukaryota; Metazoa; Nematoda; Chromadorea; Rhabditida; Rhabditidae
Source: Ensembl
UAAUAACACUUGAUGAUAUAAACCAAAGUCAGUGAGAAAUCUAUAUAUGACGCAGAUGAGAGUGACUUGUUUCAAAUGAAAAAUAGAAACAAAAAGUGCUUGCAGGCUUCGCUGCCUUCAUUGUGAUGGUGUUGGUGUGAAGGUCCUGGGCGCAAAGUGCGUGCCAAUAGUUUAUUCAUAACUGUACCGCCUGUUUCGUUUUGUUCAUCACACUCACUUCUACUUGACUCUUUUUACCGAGCCGCGUUUCCUUUUUUGUCUACUUUGAC